Molecule: ribosomal RNA, 468 nt
Filed under: uncultured bacterium
Lineage: Bacteria
Description: partial 16S ribosomal RNA
Rfam family: Bacterial small subunit ribosomal RNA
Source: RNAcentral
GACGAACGCUGGCGGCGUGCUUAACACAUGCAAGUCGAACGGAAAGGCCCUGCUUUUGUGGGGUGCUCGAGUGGCGAACGGGUGAGAAGCACGUGAGUAACCUGCCCUUGACUUUGGGAUAACUUCAGGAAACUGGGGCUAAUACCGGAUAGGAGCUCCUGCUGCAUGGUGGGGGUUGGAAAGUUUCGGCGGUUGGGGAUGGACUCGCGGCUUAUCAGCUUGUUGGUGGGGUAGUGGCUUACCAAGGCUUUGACGGGUAGCCGGCCUGAGAGGGUGACCGGCCACAUUGGGACUGAGAUACGGCCCAGACUCCUACGGGAGGCAGCAGUGGGGAAAAUUGCACAAUGGGCGGAAGCCUGAUGCAGCAACGCCGCGUGCGGGAUGACGGCCUUCGGGUUGUAAACCGCUUUCGCCUGUGACGAAGCGUGAGUGACGGUAAUGGGUAAAGAAGCACCGGCUAACUACGUG